ACUGAGACACGGCCCAGACUCCUACGGGAGGCAGCAGUGGGGAAUUUUUCGCAAUGGGGGAAACCCUGACGCGAGCGACGCCGUGUGCGCGACGAAGGCCUUAGGGUCGUAAAGCGCUGUCAGCGGGGACGAAGGCCUGAGGGUCGAAAGGCCCUGGGGAUGAUGGUACCCGCGGAGGAAGCCCCGGCUAACUACGUGCCAGCAGCCGCGGUAAUACGUAGGGGCGAGCGUUGUCCGGAAUGACUGGGCGUAAAGGGCGUCUAGGCGGCACGGUACGUCGGGAGUGAAAGGCGCGGGCUCAACCCGCGGAGUGCUCUCGAAACGGCCGAGCUAGAGGGCCGGAGAGGGAAGCGGAAUUGCCGGUGUAGCGGUGAAAUGCGUAGAGAUCGGCAGGAACACCAGUGGCGAAGGCGGCUUCCUGGACGGUACCUGACGCUGAAGCGCGAAAGCGUGGGGAGCAAACGGGAUUAGAUACCCCGGUAGUCCACGCCGUAAACGAUGGGUGCUAGGUGU
Molecule: ribosomal RNA, 513 nt
Filed under: uncultured bacterium
Lineage: Bacteria
Description: bacterial SSU rRNA
Rfam family: Bacterial small subunit ribosomal RNA
Source: RNAcentral